Molecule: unclassified non-coding RNA, 403 nt
Filed under: soil metagenome
Description: partial contains 5.8S ribosomal RNA, internal transcribed spacer 2, and large subunit ribosomal RNA
Rfam family: 5.8S ribosomal RNA (bases 1-122)
Source: RNAcentral
GAUGAAGAACGUAGCAAAAUGCGAUACUUGGUGUGAAUUGCAGAAUCCCGUGAACCAUCGAGUUUUUGAACGCAAGUUGCGCCCGAAGCCUUUUGGCCGAGGGCACGUAUGCCUGGGCGUCACGCAUCGCGUCGCCCCCCACAAUUCUCCGUAAAAGGAACAUGUGUUUUGGGGGCGGAUAUUGGUCUCCCGUGCUCAUGGCGUGGUUGGCCGAAAUAGGAGUCCUUUCGAUGGACGCACGAACUAGUGGUGGUCGUAAAAACCCUCGUCUUUUGUUUCGUGCUGUUGCUCGCAAGGUAAACUCUUUAAAAACCCCAAUGUGUCGUCUCUUGACGACGCUUCGACCGCGACCCCAGGUCAGGCGGGACUACCCGCUGAGUUUAAGCAUAUCAAUAAGCGAGGA